Molecule: ribosomal RNA, 104 nt
Filed under: Paramormyrops kingsleyae
Lineage: Eukaryota; Metazoa; Chordata; Actinopteri; Osteoglossiformes; Mormyridae
Source: RNAcentral
UCCACCUGCACUUCAGAACAGGAAAUCUAUCUAAAGCUAAGCAGGUCUGGUGCUGUCCAGUACUUGAAUGGGUGACCAGCUAGGAAAGUGAGUUGCUGCUGGAA